GCUCACUUCAGCUGCACAUAUAUUAAAAUUGGAACAACACACAGAAGAUUAGCAUGGCCCCUGCGCAAGGAUGACACGCAGACUGAGUCCCUGGGUCCUGCCUUU
This is a small nuclear RNA of Ochotona curzoniae (black-lipped pika), 105 nucleotides long. Lineage: Eukaryota; Metazoa; Chordata; Mammalia; Lagomorpha; Ochotonidae. The record is from RefSeq and is a predicted model, not a curated record.